This 401-nucleotide ribosomal RNA is filed under the name Nannoniscus sp. RNAcentral describes it as "partial 16S ribosomal RNA". Lineage: Eukaryota; Metazoa; Arthropoda; Malacostraca; Isopoda; Nannoniscidae. The record is from RNAcentral.
UUGUCUCUUAAUUGGGGGCCGGAAUGAAAGAGUUGUCANUACUUUAGCUUUUCUUACRAUUUUAAAAGAAAUUGAUAUUCAUGUCAAAAAGCAUGACUUUUUAGAAAGACGAGAAGACCCUAURAAGCUUUAUUAAAUUUUUUAAUAGUUAAAUUUAGAAAUUUAUAAUUAAAUUUUAAUUCAGCUGGGGCGGCAUCUAAAUAAACAUAAGAAGAUUUAACAUUAUUUAUGGUUUUAAAAAGCUUAAAAUAAAAAAUAAAAUAAGCUACUUUAGGGAUAACAGCAUAAUUUUUUCGUAUAGAUCUUAUAGAAGAAAAAGAGUUGUGACCUCGAUGUUGAAUUGAAGAGCCUUAUUUAAGCNAGAAUAAAUGAAGGAAGUCUGUUCGACUUUUUAUUCUUCA